GUGGCAUACGAAGCUUACCAUGCAAGUCGAGCGGUAGCACAGGGGAGCUUGCUCCCUGGGUGACGAGCGGCGGACGGGUGAGUAAUGUCUGGGAAACUGCCUGAUGGAGGGGGAUAACUACUGGAAACGGUAGCUAAUACCGCAUAACGUCGCAAGACCAAAGAGGGGGACCUUCGGGCCUCUUGCCAUCAGAUGUGCCCAGAUGGGAUUAGCUAGUAGGUGGGGUAAUGGCUCACCUAGGCGACGAUCCCUAGCUGGUCUGAGAGGAUGACCAGCCACACUGGAACUGAGACACGGUCCAGACUCCUACGGGAGGCAGCAGUGGGGAAUAUUGCACAAUGGGCGCAAGCCUGAUGCAGCCAUGCCGCGUGUGUGAAGAAGGCCUUCGGGUUGUAAAGCACUUUCAGCGAGGAGGAAGGUGGUGAGCUUAAUACGCUCAUCAAUUGACGUUACUCGCAGAAGAAGCACCGGCUAACUCCGUGCCAGCAGCCGCGGUAAUACGGAGGGUGCAAGCGUUAAUCGGAAUUACUGGGCGUAAAGCGCACGCAGGCGGUUUGUUAAGUCAGAUGUGAAAUCCCCGGGCUCAACCUGGGAACUGCAUUUGAAACUGGCAAGCUAGAGUCUCGUAGAGGGGGGUAGAAUUCCAGGUGUAGCGGUGAAAUGCGUAGAGAUCUGGAGGAAUACCGGUGGCGAAGGCGGCCCCCUGGACGAAGACUGACGCUCAGGUGCGAAAGCGUGGGGGAGCAAACAGGAUUAGAUACCCUGGUAGUCCACGCUGUAAACGAUGUCGAUUUGGAGGUUGUGCCCUUGAGGCGUGGCUUCCGGAGCUAACGCGUUAAAUCGACCGCCUGGGGAGUACGGCCGCAAGGUUAAAACUCAAAUGAAUUGACGGGGGCCCGCACAAGCGGUGGAGCAUGUGGUUUAAUUCGAUGCAACGCGAAGAACCUUACCUACUCUUGACAUCCAGAGAACUUAGCAGAGAUGCUUUGGUGCCUUCGGGAACUCUGAGACAGGUGCUGCAUGGCUGUCGUCAGCUCGUGUUGUGAAAUGUUGGGUUAAGUCCCGCAACGAGCGCAACCCUUAUCCUUUGUUGCCAGCGGUUCGGCCGGGAACUCAAAGGAGACUGCCAGUGAUAAACUGGAGGAAGGUGGGGAUGACGUCAAGUCAUCAUGGCCCUUACGAGUAGGGCUACACACGUGCUACAAUGGCGUAUACAAAGAGAAGCGACCUCGCGAGAGCAAGCGGACCUCAUAAAGUACGUCGUAGUCCGGAUUGGAGUCUGCAACUCGACUCCAUGAAGUCGGAAUCGCUAGUAAUCGUAGAUCAGAAUGCUACGGUGAAUACGUUCCCGGGCCUUGUACACACCGCCCGUCACACCAUGGGAGUGGGUUGCAAAAGAAGUAGGUAGCUUAACCUUCGGGAGGGCGCUACCACUUGGAUCAGUCGGC
RNAcentral lists this ribosomal RNA (1448 nucleotides) under Serratia marcescens. Its description in RNAcentral is "bacterial SSU rRNA". It matches the Rfam family "Bacterial small subunit ribosomal RNA". Lineage: Bacteria; Pseudomonadati; Pseudomonadota; Gammaproteobacteria; Enterobacterales; Yersiniaceae. The record is from RNAcentral.